CACAUGCAAGUCGAGCGGUAACAGAGAGUAGCUUGCUACUUUGCUGACGAGCGGCGGACGGGUGAGUAAUGCUUGGGAAUAUGCCUUUGAGUGGGGGACAACAGUUGGAAACGACUGCUAAUACCGCAUAAUGUCUACGGACCAAAGGGGGGGAUGCUUCGGCACCUCUCGCUCAUAGAUUAGCCCAAGUGAGAUUAGCUAGUUGGUAAGGUAAUGGCUUACCAAGGCGACGAUCUCUAGCUGGUUUGAGAGGAUGAUCAGCCACACUGGGACUGAGACACGGCCCAGACUCCUACGGGAGGCAGCAGUGGGGAAUAUUGCACAAUGGGCGAAAGCCUGAUGCAGCCAUGCCGCGUGUGUGAAGAAGGCCUUCGGGUUGUAAAGCACUUUCAGUUGUGAGGAAAGGGAUGUAGUUAAUAACUGCAUUCUGUGACGUUAGCAACAGAAGAAGCACCGGCUAACUCCGUGCCAGCAGCCGCGGUAAUACGGAGGGUGCGAGCGUUAAUCGGAAUUACUGGGCGUAAAGCGUGCGUAGGCGGUUUGUUAAGCAAGAUGUGAAAGCCCCGGGCUCAACCUGGGAACUGCAUUUUGAACUGGCAGGCUAGAGUAUUGUAGAGGGUGGUGGAAUUUCCAGUGUAGCGGUGAAAUGCGUAGAGAUUGGAAGGAACAUCAGUGGCGAAGGCGGCCACCUGGACAAAUACUGACGCUGAGGCACGAAAGCGUGGGGAGCAAACAGGAUUAGAUACCCUGGUAGUCCACGCCGUAAACGAUGUCAACUAGCUGUCUGUAGACUUGAUCUGUGGGUAGCGCAGCUAACGCGAUAAGUUGACCGCCUGGGGAGUACGGCCGCAAGGUUAAAACUCAAAUGAAUUGACGGGGGCCCGCACAAGCGGUGGAGCAUGUGGUUUAAUUCGAUGCAACGCGAAGAACCUUACCAUCCCUUGACAUCCAGAGAAAUUUCUAGAGAUAGAUUUGUGCCUUCG
RNAcentral lists this ribosomal RNA (983 nucleotides) under Colwellia sp. Spegb5. RNAcentral describes it as "bacterial SSU rRNA". It matches the Rfam family "Bacterial small subunit ribosomal RNA", at positions 52 to 1022 of the family's 1533-position model. Lineage: Bacteria; Pseudomonadati; Pseudomonadota; Gammaproteobacteria; Alteromonadales; Colwelliaceae. The record is from RNAcentral.